AACAAGCCUGACGUGAGGAGGGCUGUAUUUAUUGGAUACGAAACUGAUGGCAGCGAUGCCUUUGGUGAUUCACAAUAACUGAACGGAUCGUAUGGCCUUGAGCUGACGACGUUUCAUUCAAAUUUCCGCCCUAUCAACUUUCGAUGGUACGGUAGAGGCCUACCAUGGUGAUAACGGGUAACGGGGAAUUGGGGUUCUAUUCCGGAGAGGGAGCCUGAGAAAUGGCUACCACGUCCAAGGAUGGCAGCAGGCGCGCAAAUUACCCAAUGCCGACACGGCGAGGUAGUGACAGAAAAUAACGAUGCGGGGCCGUGAGGCUUUGCAAUUGGAAUGAGAACAAUCUAAAUCGCUUAACGAGUAACGAUU
RNAcentral lists this ribosomal RNA (366 nucleotides) under uncultured eukaryote. Its description in RNAcentral is "SSU rRNA". It matches the Rfam family "Eukaryotic small subunit ribosomal RNA", at positions 174 to 549 of the family's 1831-position model. The record is from RNAcentral.